UCUAGCCACACUUGCGUUCAGGAAAAAAAACUGCAAGCAGAAACCCACCGAUGUGGUAUAUCUUCGUUCAGGUCCCAAUCACAGGAGCCUCAACCAUCCUUGGGCAAAUCCAUGAGCGUGACCAGCUUUGUGAUGGUUUCAGCAAUAGACACCUCGUUCCCAUCUGGUACUGGUACCAGGGCGGCAACAUCUGUAGAUGCACCAGCGCUCACCUGGACAGUUGUGGCGCGCCCAGCACUGCUAGCUUCUACAGCAUCUGCCAAGUUCUUGGCCAAAGAACUCGACGAUUCGCUCGCUUUGUCUGUGUUCAGGAACAGGCAGACAACAGCGCAGUCA
RNAcentral lists this unclassified non-coding RNA (336 nucleotides) under Zea mays. RNAcentral's name for it is "misc RNA Zm00001eb240950". The record is from RNAcentral. Lineage: Eukaryota; Viridiplantae; Streptophyta; Magnoliopsida; Poales; Poaceae.